Paramuricea clavata is the source of this 325-nucleotide non-coding RNA. The record is from the annotation of a GenBank genome assembly. Lineage: Eukaryota; Metazoa; Cnidaria; Anthozoa; Malacalcyonacea; Plexauridae.
UGUUUAUUCUGUCCACAAUAGAUUUGCUUACGACACCGAUGUCGCUCUUCGCGGGAUUAGUGAGGCGGCAAGACGGCUUAUUUUCAAAAUUAUCCUUAUGGUCUUUUAGGGUAACGAAUGCUUGUCGUUUCGCCAUACAUUCUGCUCUGUCUCCGAUAUUCAACGUGCUUGCGAGGACUUUUGCUUCUUGAAUUAUUUUGUUGUAAGCUUCGCUGCUGGCUUUUUUGUAUGUUGAUGUUAUGUUGUCGUGGAGUAGUUUGUCGUACGAGGUUUUUUCAAGCUUGUACAUGUUGGUUGUUUUAUCUGCGGGAAUGAAUGCCUUGGU